UCUACUCUAGUGCAGUCACUGAACAUCAAUGUUGUAUUUACACAGACAGACCGAGAAAAAAAGAUACGGUGAUGAUCUUAUCCCCUCCUGUCUUCUUACUCCUGAAUGUUUACAUCGAAUGGCUUACAGUGUCUCUGUCAAACUACAACACAAUCUCUGUGCGCUUCCUUCUGGAUAUUACCGAGGGGCUGGUUUGCAACUGCAGAUGAAGUCUGCUGGAACUGUUGACCAGAAUUUAUUUACCGACACCUACUGUAAGGUAUGCAGUGCUCAACUGAUUUCAGAGUCUCAGAGAGUGGCACAUUAUGAGAGCCGAAAACAUGCCAGCAAGGUUCGACUUUACUACAUGCUUCACCCAAUUGAUGGAGGAUGUCCAGCAAAGAAGCUCAGAUCUGAAAACGGAAGUGAUGAUGGAGAUGUGGACAAGAACAAAUGCUGCACACUCUGUAAUAUGUCAUUUACCUCUGCUGUGGUGGCACAGUCACAUUACCAAGGCAAAAUUCAUGCUAAAAGGUGCAGGCUAUUGCUGGGAGAGGAGGCACCUUUUGGAACAGAACCAAAGCAGAUUUCCUCAAAGCCCAGUCCAAUAACAAACCCAUCACGACAGAGAAGAGAUUCAGACAGGUUCUGCCAACUCUGUAAUGCCUGGUUUAAUAAUCCAAUGAUGGCCCAACAGCACUACGAUGGGAAGAAACACAAGAAGAAUGCAGCACGAGCUGAUUUAUUGGAACAGCUCGGUCAGACCCUAGAUCCUGAAGCACUCAGAGCACUGAAGCGGAGUUACACUUGCAGUUUGUGUCAUGUGAUCCUGAAUUCCAUCGAACAGUACCAUGCUCAUCUACAGGGAUCCAAGCAUCAGACUAACUUGAAAAACCAAUCAUGAGAUCCUUCGAGAGAAAAAUUGUUCAUUGAAUUCAACUUCAAGAUAUUUUGUUGUCCUUCAGGGCAUCCAAAUUUUACUCAAUGCAGAGAUGGUCAUCUUUCUCAAGAAGCAUUGGACACCUUUUUCGACUGGUGUUUUCUUUUUUCCCAAAGUAGAAAUAUCUCAAAGAGAUGUCUAUUACUCUGUGUUUGAAGCAAAUUCCAUUGGUUAUGAGCUCGGCACAAGAAUAAGCAGCUUGUUUUGAAGGAAACUCAUGCCUCUUGAAGCACAGUUUUUCAAACACUGCAGUUUACUACAAUUGUUUAUUGCCCAGAUCAUUCCAGGCUGAUGGAUAAACAAGAAUGCAUUCCAGCCAUUUGGAAGUUUUGACAUUUUUGAUGGGUUGCAUUGAAGGAUUUGCAUUUGUACCACAAAUUCCAUGACAGAAUGUUCUGAAGUACUUCAGUAUUCAUUCAGUAUUUUUGAACUGUGUAAUUUUUGUCAUGUAGCAAAAUGCAAAUUGGGUACAACAAGGUCCCAGAAAUAGCAGUGAGAUCGUAAUUGUGAACAACAGAAUUUGUCUGCUGCUUAAUUUUGAUGUGAAAACAUUUACGUGUGUCUGAGAGAGUAGAUGGAACUUUGUUUAAUGUUUCACCUGAAACUUGCACCUCUGACAGUGCAGCACCAUCUCAAUAUUGUACUACAACCUAGAUCCUGUGCUCAAAUCUCUGGAGAGCAGUUUGAGCCCAGGACCUACUAUUUGAGAGUUGAGAGUACCACAGAGAAACUGGUUCAAUGGAUGGCCAAAUAGUCUUUCCAUUCCUGGAUCCUAGAUUGCAGUCCAGCUCAAUAUGACGAGAUGAAAAUCUCUUCCUCUUUGAUUGAUGGGACCUUAGUCGGCACUGUCAAUACAGUUUCCAGAUUUUUCAAGUGCAAAAAUUAUAAAUUCCAAUUGUUUGAAGGUCAGAGAGAGGAAGCAAUGCACUUUCUGUCCAAAUGCUUUCCAUGAUCUAUUUAAAACAGAUUGUCACUGUUAUGAAGUUCGUAAAACUUGUUGACUAACUUCUCAGGAACAGAUCACUGGGAGGGUGAAGGAACACAUCUGUCACGUGCAAAGUUUUAUAUUGAAGUGCUGAUCACAUUUGUUCUUAUUGCUACCAAGUAUGUUUUUUGUGAGGACUGGUGUGCCUUUUUCAGUUCUGUAACCCAGUGGCAGCACCUUACAUAUCAGAUCAGAUAUGGUCUAGGUUCAUCUUGGUUCUAAACUCAAAUGAGUAAUGUGAGUUGAAGCCAGAUACUUCUUAUCAAUUUCCCUCUUAACAAUUUUGUGCCAGAUUGUAAAUGGGUUUGUGCUGAAGGCUGCAUCCACUCUUAGCUGAGCUGAGACUGCUGAAAGACAUUUCUCAUGGAACCUUUACAAUCAAGUUCUCACUUACCAACCUUGGCAGUAUUCAAUCAGCUUGCAUCACUGCAAUGCAAUUAAGGUAGAUACUGAAGCCUGGACACAUGUGCAUGUGGUCACAAAUCUGAUCUCAUGUUAUAUUAGCUAGCAUGAUGAUGAACUUCAAACAUUUCUAUCUGCAGAUAUUUUCAUACCUACUAUUUAAGGAUUAAUGCCUUUUGAAUGGUCAAAGGGCCUGUAUGGAUACUUUCUGAUGUUCUAGCUUCAAUACUUGGUGUCGCAGUCAAAUGCAGUAAGUCUUUUCACAAUGAGCACCUUUGUUUGCAGAAAACUUAGAAGUGACUUUGUCAAUUUGGAAUACAAUGAGAGUAAUGGAAGUUAAUUAAAGUAUGCUAAUAAAGUUUCAGUGAGAUACAAAAUCUCAGUUAACGAGGAUAAAAGACAAUGUAAAAUACUCUUAAGUACCCCAGUACCAAGCAUGCUAAUUUUUAUUGCUAAAUUUUUUGAUAACUUAUAUAAACGAACACCAUGAAGAAACCCUUUAAUCAUCGUGAUGCAAAAAGCGCCAUGUGCAAAAAAAUGUUCUUCAAAUAUACAUAUUUCAGUUAUCAAGGCAGAAUUGUUAAGCGUUGAUUAACUCUUUGAUAACUAAGAAGUUUAUGUCACUCUGAGGAACCGUGUCAGCAUAAAAUUUCUCAAUCAAGUUGAAUUGAACAUCUCAUGAACCGAAAUAUUUUUAAAACCUCUAAAGUGAUGACUGCACCUGUUGACUUAUUGCCUGGACUGUUGGAACCUUUGACAAAGUUACAAUGAGAAUGUACUGUCAAUGAAAUAGGGGCAAUCGGUCUUGUCAUUCAAAGAUUGCAUUCUGUCAAAUAACUGAGCAGCACCAGUCAGAAUCCAGAGCAAAGUUUACAACACUACCAAAAUGCUUAAGCCGUGAAAAUGUUGAGAAGUUAGAUAAAUUUUGAUUAUAAAACGAACAUGCGAGAAAAGCACAACAGAUCUGGAACUGCCGACAGAGACUCUGCAAAUUAGACAGAAGAGUCGACUUGCCUCUUACCCAAGACCAGUAUUUCCAGUAAUCCAAUCACAAGUCUCCAAAAUGUUUAAUCUUACAAAAUUAGAGUUGGAGAAAGUUGUACAGAAUGACUAACAUAGUUAGAUUUCAGGGUCCAGCAAGAUAUGGAAUACUGAGGAAGCUCUGAAUUAUGUAGUGAAUAUUUUUCAACUUUUGGCCAGUAAUUCAGAAUGGAAGGUCUAUUAGACUAUGUUGAAGUGAUGGCCUCAUCAGUGAACUACUGCAGCCCUCUGUACUGCACAAAUCUCUUGUGUAAACUAUGCUGCUGCUUUUGUUUUACAACUCAUGGAUUAGUUCCCAAUGUUCUCCAGGGGAGAAACCGUUAUGUUCCUGGCCUUGGGUGUGUGACAAAAGGUGACAAGGUACUGUAAAUAAAAUGCAUUUAGUUUUCAUGACAAUCUCUGCAUUUCCUGGUUGCAAUAAACCAUAGCAUUGACCAAAACAAUUGUGUGUCUUUAUUGUGUUAAAAAAAACUGGCAGGCACUUCUAAAAAAAAUGCAAGGUACUAGAAUUGAUGUUUUAUUUUGCAGAAUGGAAAGGACGAUUUAGAUAAAUACAUUGAGGAUUGGAGGAUCUGAUCCAAACAAAGAAACCCGCCAAGUUUUAUUGUCCUUGGAAAACAAUGUGAAGGUCACAUCUUGUAAUAUAGGAAACCACUAGAGCUGAAAAGUAACCCAAGAAAAUCUUCAUCUGAUGAUAAAAAACAGUUGUGUCUGGACUCAACCUGGCAGGAAACAUACAGACAGCAAGUUUUUCCUUGUACCCUGUCCAUGAAUGAUAAUCUCAUCGCGAUAGGGGCCAUCCUCGAUAUUUAGUCAAGUUUGAUCCCUAAUUGGUGAAGGCAAAAUAAAUACUUGCUUGAAAGAGGAAGCAACUUCAUGAAGACACUUUAGAAAGAAAGAAGGUGACUCCAUGCAUUUCAGACCACCUGUAUGUUCCACACCAGUCGCAUACCAUCCUGAUUUGGAAACGUAUCAUCGUUCCUUCAUUGUCACUGGAUUGAAAUCCUGGAACUCAAACUGUGUGCAUGUGUACACCACAUAUACUGAAUUGAGUGAAGAAGCCAGCACACCACCAUGCUCUUAAGGGCAGUUAAGAAUGAAAAGUGAAUCUGGUCCAGUGUGCAACACUCACAUCCCACGAAUGAACAAAAACAAAUCUCUCUGCUAUGCUGAGAAUUCUCAAGCUCAUUGCAAACAAAGUAACUGUUAAGAUGUUUUUAAAAGAUGUUGCUCAAUGUGGGCUAAAAUGCUUUAAUUGGGAUUUUAUUCCUCAUGAUGACUUAACUGUGGCAAAAGAGCCAUCAGAAGUCUAUUCUUCUUGUGGCUCGUUAAAACUCUGGUUCAGUGCUGUAAUUCCAGGUAAAAUGAUCUCAUGUCUACACUCGAUAAAUACUCGGUAUCCAAUUUUUAUUUUAAAUACUGCUCAUUAUUUUCCCUUCCAAUAUCUAUUCACAAGCAUUUGUAAUUCCAUGUUUGCUUUAUUUGCCACGUUUCCAGUUAACCUCCCAUUUAAACCAUGACAGGACAUGUUCCAGCAUCAUAAUAAGUCAUCUCUAGUUUUCAACCUUUACAAUUCCCUAUUGUAAAUUGGCAUAAAUUAUGAGGCUUUGGAAUAAUUAAUUGAUCAAGUCUUGGUUUGAAAGAGACCACCAUUGU
Chiloscyllium plagiosum (whitespotted bambooshark) is the source of this 5003-nucleotide non-coding RNA. Lineage: Eukaryota; Metazoa; Chordata; Chondrichthyes; Orectolobiformes; Hemiscylliidae. The record is from RefSeq and is a predicted model, not a curated record.